CAGCCGCCGCGGUAAUACAGAGGUCUCAAGCGUUGUUCGGAUUCAUUGGGCGUAAAGGGUGCGUAGGUGGCGGUGUAAGUCUAACGUGAAAUCUCGGGGCUCAACCUCGAAAUUGCGUCGGAUACUGCAUUGCUAGAGGAUUGUAGAGGAGAGUGGAAUUCAUGGUGUAGCAGUGAAAUGCGUAGAUAUCAUGAGGAAGACCAGUUGCGAAGGCGACUCUCUGGGCAAUUCCUGACACUGAGGCACGAAGGCUAGGGGAGCAAACGGGAUUAGAUACCCCAGUAGUCCCUGUCUCUUAUAA
Molecule: ribosomal RNA, 301 nt
Filed under: uncultured bacterium
Lineage: Bacteria
Description: partial 16S ribosomal RNA
Rfam family: Bacterial small subunit ribosomal RNA
Source: RNAcentral